AUGGCUUCAUCCGGUUCCAUGACGAGGCCACCGUGUGCUAACCAAGAAGACAUGCCGCACAAGUGGAAGGACGCAUUUUUGGACAAGGUGAAGGAGAAAGAUGUGAAGAUUCCGCCAUGUUGGUGUGGAGAUGUUUGCAAGGUGAAGGAGUCCACCAACCGAAAGAAGUCAUGGACGGAAGGAAGGAGAUAUUUUGUUUGCCCCAGCUAUGCUUAUGAUCGUGCGCUUCCAACUAACGCGUAUGACCUUCCACCAGUACUGAAAGAACAUGCGGUGCCCCCAUGUUUGGUUUUGGUAAUUGAUGACAAUCUCUAUGGACUAAUGGUUGCCUUGAGUUAUAUUUGA
RNAcentral lists this ribosomal RNA (345 nucleotides) under Triticum aestivum (bread wheat). RNAcentral describes it as "partial small subunit ribosomal RNA". Lineage: Eukaryota; Viridiplantae; Streptophyta; Magnoliopsida; Poales; Poaceae. The record is from RNAcentral.